GCACUGUGCUCCUACUGGCUCUGGCCAGGAGUGGCCCCCAACACCCUCUCUGGGGAGCUCAGGACCUAAGAGAAACCCCAGCACCUGGAGAAGCCCCAAGAGGAGAAGACACUGGUUGAGGAACUGACUCAAACAUUUGAAGGCAAAGACCUGCCUCCUGAGGACCUCUGCCCUCUUCAGGACAGCUUCUUCAGGUAUGAGGAGGAAAUGGAACCACAUUCUCAUGCGGUCCCGUGCCAGCCAUCUGUGAGCUUCAAGGACGUGGCUGUGACCUUCACGCAGGAGGAGUGGGGACAGCUGAAUCUGGCCCAGAGGAGACUGUACCGCAACGUGACUCUGGAGACCUGGAGCCACCUGGUCUCUCUGGGUAAGCCAAGCUCUGCCCAUCACAGCAGUUUCUGUUUCAGGGACUCAAAGCUCUGGCUCUUCUUAAGGGUAUGCCCGGGCUGGACCAGAGCAUUCCAGAAAUGGAUUUCUUUGAGAUACAGGUCCUGGAUAUUGCCACUCAUUCUGCCUGUAAGGAGCCAAGCAUUUUGCUGGGAUUUUCCUUGGGAUGUGCAGGGCCCUCCUCAUCCAUCCACAUCUGACCCCAGGGACUGAGGGCUGGGCCAGAGGACGCAGUUCUCCUCCUCUCCAAGCAGAGCACAAAGUCCUGUGUUUUUCCACCAUUGACCAGGACUUCUGCUUUCCAAACCGGAUGUGAUCAGCUGGCUGGAGCAAGGACAAGACUCAUGGAGGGCAGAACAGGGACCUCCCCAAGGUGAGAGCAGGCCAGAGACCUGGUGAGUUAACAUGGCAAGAUUGCUCUCCACAGGACCCUGGGUCCAAAGAGGGGAGGAGGAGCAGAGAGCUUCCUUGGGUGUUCUCUGCUGCUUCCUCACAUCCAAGGCAACCACAUUCUCAUCCACAUAGGCCUAUCCCUCUGUCCCCAUGAAAAACACAUGUCACUGUUGUCCCAACGUUUCUCAUGUGUGGGUUCAUUUCAGUUCCCAUCUUCCCUUUGAUCUUCAUCCCUCAGCUGCUUCAUCUAUUCCUGGGUCCUUGUGCCCCCUCUUUUCCUUGAGUCCCUUACCCUGACUUCCACCCAGGGCAGCAGCUCCUCAGAUCUCUCCAUCACGCCUGGUCUAUGUUGGACAUUCCUACAACUUCUAGAUGAUCCAGAGGUGUGGUGAGAACUUGUGCAUCCUAGGAAAUGGCAAUGACCUAUUCCUUCCAGAAGGAUUCCUACUAACUCAGUUCCUGGGCUUGUUUUCCCACCUCUUCUCAUCCCAUAGGCCCACCUCCUUAUAUGCCCCAGUGUCUCAGCCGGAUUGGAACUCUUUUUUUUUUUUUUUCUUUAAUAGCCAUAUUGAGAUAAAAUUCACAUGCCAUACGAUUCACUCAUUUAAAGCAUGCAAAGGAUUUUAGUAUAUUCACAGCAUGUGCAUCUGUCACUAUAAUCAAUUUUAGAACAUGUUCAUCACUGCAACUAAUUAGGCUGGUUCUGAUUUUUUUGUUGUUGUUUUGUUUUAAUUAAUAGACUUUAUUUAUUAGAGCAGUUUUAUGUUUACCAGAAGUUGAACAGAAAGUACAGAGCUCCCAUCUACCACCCUUCCCCACCACAAACACAGUUUCCUCCGUUAUUAAUAUCUUAUAUUCUGUGGUACAUUUGUUACAGUGGGUGAAGAUGUAUUCACACGUUACCAGUAGAGAUCAGUAGUUUACAUUAGGUUCAUUCUUGGUGGUGUACAUUCUGCGGGUUUGGGUAAAUGUAUAAUGCCGUAUCUCCAUCAUUAUAGUGUCAUGUAAAGUAGUUCCACUGCCCUAAAUAUCCUCUGUGUCCACCUAUUUUUCCCUCCCUCUGUCCUAACUCCUGGAAACCACUGGUUAUUUUACUCUUUCUAGUUUUACCUUUUCCAGAAUGUCCUGUAGUUGGAAUCUUGCAGUAUGUGGCCUUUCUUAACUGAAAGCAGCCACUGUGUGUCCUUCACACCACCUUCGACCUUCACACUACCUUGUGACAUUCCUUUAGCCAGAGGUGUUGGGUUUAUCUUACAUGUUUCUGCUCUUUCUUACCCUGUAACUCUCACCUAUAGCCUCUGUUAUUUUUCCCUCUGAAGUGUCACCUACUUUUACUUGUCCUUGGCCCUUCAAAUGAUGCCAUUCUGAAUUCAGUUUAUGGGUGGCAUCUUUCUUCUCAUCUGUCAUAGAUACUACUUUCUAGCUGACCCACACAGUCUGUUUUCCUCAUUUUGCGAUCUUGAUGGAGACACUGUGUAAAAUGUCUAACUUCCUUUGCCCAGUUUCCAAUGACCAGGCACAGCUUGGACACAUCUUAGCCACCCAAAGACUUCUUUCCUUCUUCCUGUCUCCAAAUACCCUUUCACUCCCUUUCAUUAGGCCAUUGUUUCAUUUGAAAAAGUUCUCAUCAUCAGGGAUUCCAAGGCAACACCAAACAGGAACACAGCACAGAGUCUUGGGAAGGAGAACAGUGUUGGGCAUGGAGGGCAUUGGACUUAGAUAAGGACUUUGUCCAAGAGGGAAAUGUCCUCCUGGAAGUCAGAGGAGGGCCACAGAGCGUAAUUAAUAUUUUGCAAAACAGAGGAUCCUUGUCUCCUUAGCAGACAUGGAGAGUGAAGCAUGGGGACUUGAUCAGAAGUCUUGAUAGUACCAGACGUGGGUGGCUACAUGACUGAAAUGGGGAGAGUGACAAGUAAAGGGGGAAUCAUGGAGGACCCAGGCAAGGUCCUGAGCUGAGAACCUGUACCACUCAUUAGAGGCCCAAUAUUUCAACAAAGGGAGGAAUCCCUGUUAGGACAAUAAAAGGGGUGCUCAUAUCA
Ursus maritimus (polar bear) is the source of this 2819-nucleotide long non-coding RNA. The record is from Ensembl. NCBI's taxonomy places the organism in Eukaryota, Metazoa, Chordata, Mammalia, Carnivora, Ursidae.